Molecule: ribosomal RNA, 446 nt
Filed under: Escherichia coli
Lineage: Bacteria; Pseudomonadati; Pseudomonadota; Gammaproteobacteria; Enterobacterales; Enterobacteriaceae
Description: bacterial SSU rRNA
Rfam family: Bacterial small subunit ribosomal RNA
Source: RNAcentral
GAGUCCUACGGGAGGCUGCAGCAGGGAAUAUUGCACAAUGGGCGAAAGCCUGACGCAGCAACGCCGCGUGGGGGAUGAAGGCCUUCGGGUUGUAAACCUCUUUCAGGAGGGAAGAAAUUGACGGUACCUCCAGAAGAAGCCCCGGCUAACUACGUGCCAGCAGCCGCGGUAAUACGUAGGGGGCGAGCGUUGUCCGGAUUUAUUGGGCGUAAAGGGCUCGUAGGCGGUUCAGUAAGUCGGCUGUGAAAGUCCGGGGCUCAACCCCGGAAAUGCAGUCGAUACUGCUGUGACUAGAAUCAGGUAGAGGAGAAUGGAAUUCCCGGUGUAGCGGUGAAAUGCGCAGAUAUCGGGAGGAACACCAGUAGCGAAGGCGGUUCUCUGGGCCUGUACUGACGCUGAGGAGCGAAAGCGUGGGGAGCAAACAGGAUUAGAUACCCUAGUAGUCC